Molecule: ribosomal RNA, 253 nt
Filed under: uncultured bacterium
Lineage: Bacteria
Description: partial 16S ribosomal RNA
Rfam family: Bacterial small subunit ribosomal RNA
Source: RNAcentral
UACGAAGGGUGCGAGCGUUAAUCGGAAUUACUGGGCGUAAAGCGCGUGUAGGCGGUUGGUUAAGUCAGAUGUGAAAGCCCCGGGCUCAACCUGGGAAUGGCGAUGGAUACUGGCGGGCUAGAGUGCGGUAGAGGAGAGUGGAAUUCCCGGUGUAGCAGUGAAAUGCGUAGAGAUCGGGAGGAACAUCAGUUGCGAAGGCGGCUCUCUGGACCAGCACUGACACUGAGGCACGAAAGCGUGGGGAGCAAACAGG